RNAcentral lists this non-coding RNA (27 nucleotides) under Cricetulus griseus (Chinese hamster). Lineage: Eukaryota; Metazoa; Chordata; Mammalia; Rodentia; Cricetidae. The record is from RNAcentral.
ACUUGGUACUGUAGGCCGAUUCCGGGU